This 491-nucleotide ribosomal RNA is filed under the name uncultured bacterium. RNAcentral's name for it is "partial 16S ribosomal RNA". It matches the Rfam family "Bacterial small subunit ribosomal RNA", at positions 29 to 507 of the family's 1533-position model. The record is from RNAcentral.
AGUGAACGCUGGCGGUAGGCCUAACACAUGCAAGUCGAACGGCAGCACAGUAAGAGCUUGCUCUUACGGGUGGCGAGUGGCGGACGGGUGAGGAAUACAUCGGAAUCUACUUUUUCGUGGGGAUAACGUAGGGAAACUUACGCUAAUACCGCAUACGACCUACGGGUGAAAGCAGGGGAUCUUCGGACCUUGCGCGAUUGAAUGAGCCGAUGUCGGAUUAGCUAGUUGGCGGGGUAAAGGCCCACCAAGGCGACGAUCCGUAGCUGGUCUGAGACGAUGAUCAGCCACACUGGAACUGAGACACGGUCCAGACUCCUACGGGAGGCAGCAGUGGGGAAUAUUGGACAAUGGGCGCAAGCCUGAUCCAGCCAUACCGCGUGGGUGAAGAAGGCCUUCGGGUUGUAAAGCCCUUUUGUUGGGAAAGAAAAGCAGCAGGUUAAUACCCCGCUGUUCUGACGGUACCCAAAGAAUAAGCACCGGCUAACUUCGUG